GGCGCUCGCCGACCAACGGUGGUGUAAAAACCUCUCGGAGGCACGUCGCGGGCGCCCUUGCAAUCCUGAGGCACUCACGGACCCUGCGCACGGCAGUGCUCAUGACGCGACCCCAGGUCAGGCGGGAUCACCCGCUGAGCUUAAGCAUAUCAAUAGC
RNAcentral lists this ribosomal RNA (157 nucleotides) under Tribulus lanuginosus. RNAcentral describes it as "partial 28S ribosomal RNA". The record is from RNAcentral. Lineage: Eukaryota; Viridiplantae; Streptophyta; Magnoliopsida; Zygophyllales; Zygophyllaceae.